GACCCAAUGGUACAAUGGCUAGUGCACUUGCUUUGGCUAGUUGGAUUCGCAUGAAGGUUAGGCAAGAGUUCCCUGUUCAAUUCGGGGUUGGGUCG
Molecule: non-coding RNA, 95 nt
Organism: Mycena metata
Lineage: Eukaryota; Fungi; Basidiomycota; Agaricomycetes; Agaricales; Mycenaceae
Source: the annotation of a GenBank genome assembly